AAAGUUGAGUCAAUUGUCAAUUCGAUUCAAUUUCGAUUGUCGAUCAAGUCAUCGAUGUAUCGACAACUUGUUUUCAUUUUCUUAUCAAUCGUUUUUUAUUAUCACUUGAAAUUUGAAUUUGAAUUUUUCGUGCUAAAAGUAAGUAGUUGAACCGGUAAAAAUGAUGUUAUAUUCGAAAAAGUGUUCAAUUUUUGUCUCUUUUAACACUAUUUUAGUGUUCCCGAACCUUUAAUGAUUCGAUCCGUCAUACUAAGCCGUAAAAAUGGAUCUAUAUAGUGUAGAUGAACUGAUUUUCUUUUGUCGAUUAUGUUUGCAACGAUGUGGAGAACACGAAUUUGUCGACAUUUACAAAGAUGACGAUUAUUCGACAUAUUCCAAAGAACUGACGUUAUCCCACAAAAUUUCAGCCUGUGUUUCUAUCGAGUUAUCUCUGUUCAAUCAUGAGCCGAGGAAGAUAUGCAUAAGAUGUUUGAAUCAUAUCAAUGCGUGGUUCGACUUCAAGACAUCUUGUAACGCUGCAAACGAUGUUUUACAAAAAUAUUUACGCAAUGCCGAAGAGAAAAAUACACCGGUAUUUUCUGGAACGAAGACCGAAGAUAGUUUAUGCUUUCCAGAAGUUAGUUUGCUGAGUUGUGAUACAUUGCUGGAGAAAAGUAUGAGUUUAAACUCAAAUAUCUCAUCCAUCGUACAUUAUUUUCUAAAUCCAGAAAAAAAUGAUGAUAAGAUUGGAACUGAAUCCCAGAGUGUUGAAGUUGCUGAUAGUUUUAGUCAAGAAAUUAGACCAUGUGAUGAUAAUCAAAAAUCAACGUUCAACUCAUCGCCCAUUUUUCCACCGGCAAAAAUGGAUGAAGCUAAAUCUAUAAAUGAUGGCAGUGGUUACCAUUGUACUUUAUGCUACAGCAAUUUCAAUAAUUUCUCCUCAUUUCUAUCUCACGAUGAAACCAUUCAUUCUACGGAAAUGCGAAAAUAUUCGUGCACUGUUUGCGGUAGAUUGUUCAUUUCUCAAGAUCGUUUGAAUAUACAUACUAGAUUGACUCAUCGAGAGAAAACGCAUCAAUGUGAAGUAUGCGAUAAGCUUUUCGUUUCCAAGAAGUCGCUUCAAGUUCACAGUAGAUUACAUACCGAAAAGUAUAAAUGUGAAAAGUGUGGUUUCCUGAGUACUUCUAAAUUAUACCUGAAUCAGCAUAUGCAAAAGCACGAUAGUUCUUUUGAAUUUUUCACAUGUGAUAUUUGUCAGCAGAAAUUUUCCCAAAAACAGUCGCUUCUUCGUCAUAGCAAGCUGCAUUCGAAGAACCAUGGUAAAUGCUUCAAGUGUUCGAUUUGUUAUUUAUUAUUCAGAUCGAAUAGUGAACUUGUAGCCCACAAGAGUAAUACGCAUAACGGAACCAAUACAUCGCGAACUCUUAAAUGCAGAACAUGUAACGAGUUAUUUUCAUCACGGAAAACGCUCAUUGUUCACCAAAAGAGACACCAAGAGCCUCAGUUUAAUUGUUCUGUAUGUGAGAAAAAAUUCAAAUCGAAUUAUGAUUUACGCAUUCAUAUGGGUACACACAGCGAUAGCAAGAAUUUCAGUUGUUUCCACUGUAAUAAGAAGUUUAGUUUCAAUAAAUCUUUGACGAAGCAUUUGAAGAACUAUUGCCCUAGGGUGCGUUCUGAUCUCAUUGUAGUUUGAAAUCGAUGAAGUUUGCGUGUUGAGUGCUAUUGGAACUGUUGCGUUAGUAAAGAUUUACGAUGGCUGUAGGUACUUUCUUUUUGAUGGAGAACUUUGGUAAUAGGAAUCCAGCAAAUAAAUCUGUGAAUAUGGAAAACGAGCGUUUAUGUAUGAAAAUCCAUAUCCGUAUCCAUUCCCUAUGUAGUUUGGGUAAAGUUUCUUUCAAAAUGGAUAUUCCUGAAUCCUGACGACCGACGAGUUACAGAUUGGAAUCGUUGGCAUGGCAAUGGGUUUAAAAGAACCAGAAAACGCAUUCGAAAGUGUUUCUACUAGCUGUUUGUCUUUUUCAAAAUGAGUCGCCUGUUCCAAGACCAGACGACCAGUGUGCUCUAAAUAUGUGCAUAGAUUGAUGUAUUAUUUAGUGUUGGCCAUGAGAAUAUUCUCAGUGCGAACAUUCGUCAAUAUUAUUAGGUACGUGGUUAUUUUUAAAAUUAUCAAAUAUUCGCGUUUGAGGAAAAUAAAGAGUCCAAAUUUUGACGAAACUUUGAUUUUUGCUGCAAAUAUUUGCGAACAUUACGGAAUAUUUUGCUUUAAUAAAUUCAAUACCUAUGUGUGUGAAAACCAGAGUGUGCAUCAGUUAUUUUUGCUUGAGAAUUUGAAAAUAAAUUAUUUGGAAUUAGAAAAUUUUCAUCAAUGUUCGCAAAUAUUCGCAGCAAAAAUCAAAAUUCGCGAAUGUUGUCAACACUAGAUUAUUUAUAUUUUAACUGUUUAGGCACCUAAUCGAAAAAUUCUUAAAUUGAGCAAACUUUCACUACCUAUUUAAAGAUAAAUUUUUCCUACCCCUUCAAUUUAAAAGUCCGGCAAAAAAACAGAUGAAUACGUAUUUUGCUUAAGUACUAAUCAUACCAUCCAUUUUCAUAAUUAACGAGUAUUUAUUUGUCUUCGUCUAUUUUGGUUGAGUCAUUUAAGACAGCUAUUUAUAUUUAAGGAGCUGUAGAAUAAAAUGAUGUACGUAGACGUUACUGUUCAGCUUUACCCCUCCAAAUCUCAGUAUAUCGACAAAUGUACAUACAUACUCAGUUACUCACAUCAUUGAAUUUUAAAUUACUUGCGUCUUCUGAAAGAAUGUUGGUAGUGUCUCACGUUCCGUCAAAUAUUACAAAAUGAGUGACGUCUAUUAGAACACCAAGUCAUGAAAAUGCCGAUUUUCUUCAACCCCUUUUUUUAUGUUAGUUACAUACAUAGAAUCCAAUUUCUUUUAUAAUUCUCGUAUUUUAUUUAUUUUUUCUUACUGUAAGCGACGGUUUAAUCCUCAGUGCGAAUACUGAAAAGGAUCUCGAACCAUUGGAUGCUUUGAUUACUUAUAUACUCGUCGAAAACAGAUGACUAUAACGGACAGUGUUUGAUUAAUGUCGGCGGUGACAUAUCUACUCGUAGUGCAAUACUCUCUCAGAACUUAUCGUUUGGAUACGUGUUAACUGUUAAUAUCGACAAACUGGGAUGAUGCUUAAUGCUCAAGUAUUAUUAUAACCAUAAAGGCCAGCCACAUGUUUUUUUUAAAUCGUUCAUGUUCGUAAAUUUUAAUCAAUAUAUGUAUUUUUGAGUUA
This is an RNA transcript of Planococcus citri (citrus mealybug), 3258 nucleotides long. It is a transcript of the gene named zinc finger protein ZFP2-like, with no coding region annotated. NCBI's taxonomy places the organism in Eukaryota, Metazoa, Arthropoda, Insecta, Hemiptera, Pseudococcidae. The record is from RefSeq and is a predicted model, not a curated record. The transcript is spliced from 8 exons.